RNAcentral lists this ribosomal RNA (363 nucleotides) under Triticum aestivum (bread wheat). Its description in RNAcentral is "partial small subunit ribosomal RNA". Lineage: Eukaryota; Viridiplantae; Streptophyta; Magnoliopsida; Poales; Poaceae. The record is from RNAcentral.
AUGGGCAGAGCUCUCCGGCAGCCACGGCGCCCGAUGUGGAGCCGUGGGAUUAGACGAAGACGAGUCCUGCGAAGAACUCGAACUCGAGCUUUUGUCGGGGUCAUCCUCAACCACCGCUCACCCGAUGGAAGGGGCCUUGGUCUUGGUGAGAUGAGGAGAUUGGCGGCACGCCGCCUCAACCCUGGAGGCUUUGGUGGUAGUCUUCUUCACCUUCCUGAUAGCUGGGCCGGCAGCGACAUGCUUGCGGGUGCGCGGCUCGGGGUCCGGCUCGGGGGCUUGCAGCCCGGCCGCAAGCCACUCCUCAGGCUCCGCCAUCUCGCCAACCUCCUCCUCCUUCUGAAGCUCCUUUUCUUCCAUGAGUAG